GACUCCGUAGCUUAGUUGGUAGAGCAAUUGAUAUUAAUCAAUAGACGAUAGUUCAAGUCUGUCCGGAGUCG
This 71-nucleotide transfer RNA is filed under the name Spirosoma utsteinense. RNAcentral describes it as "tRNA-OTHER". It matches the Rfam family "tRNA". From Rfam's summary of the family: Transfer RNA (tRNA) molecules are approximately 80 nucleotides in length. Their secondary structure includes four short double-helical elements and three loops (D, anti-codon, and T loops). Lineage: Bacteria; Pseudomonadati; Bacteroidota; Cytophagia; Cytophagales; Cytophagaceae. The record is from RNAcentral.